Melanotaenia boesemani (Boeseman's rainbowfish) is the source of this 255-nucleotide long non-coding RNA. RefSeq lists it as uncharacterized. The record is from RefSeq and is a predicted model, not a curated record. The transcript is spliced from 3 exons. Lineage: Eukaryota; Metazoa; Chordata; Actinopteri; Atheriniformes; Melanotaeniidae.
GUUUGGGGCCGCCGUUCAUCAGGAGGGUCCAGUCCAUCCUCAGCUUGGCCCUCAUCAUCUGUGAAUGUUACUAUCAUCUCAUGAGACAGGUGAAAUGAAGCAGGCUUGAAGCCACGGAGAGCACCGUCCCACACGUUGGUUUGUUCAUAUGCAAGCUGCUGUGAGAUGCUGUUGUGAUCUUCACUGAGAGUUCUGACACAAUGUCUGCAGCAGUUCGGUCCUCUAGGCUAUCCUCUGGUCCAGGUCUUCCUCUGG